RNAcentral lists this ribosomal RNA (440 nucleotides) under uncultured bacterium. RNAcentral describes it as "partial 16S ribosomal RNA". It matches the Rfam family "Bacterial small subunit ribosomal RNA", at positions 338 to 795 of the family's 1533-position model. The record is from RNAcentral.
CCUACGGGUGGCAGCAGUGGGGGAUAUUGCACAAUGGGGGAAACCCUGAUGCAGCGACGCCGCGUGUAGGAAGACGGUCCUAUGGAUUGUAAACUACUGUUCCCAGGGACCAAGAUGACGGUACCUGGGGCGGAAGCUGCGGCUAACUACGUGCCAGCAGCCGCGGCAAUACGUAGGGAGCGAGCGUUGUCCGGAAUUACUGGGUGUUAAGGGAGCGUAGGCGGGGAUGCAAGUUGGGUGUAAAAUCCACCGGCUCAACUGGUAGUCGCACUCCAAACUGCGGCUCUUGAGUGAAGUAGAGGCAGGCGGAAUGCGUGGUGUAGCGGUGAAAUGCGUAGAUAUUAGGAGGAACACCAGUGGCGAAGGCGGCCUGCUGGGCUUUUACUGACGCUGAGGCUCGAAAGUGUGGGGAGCGAACAGGAUUAGAUACCCCUGUAGUC